This 115-nucleotide small nuclear RNA is filed under the name Erinaceus europaeus (western European hedgehog). Its description in RNAcentral is "U5 spliceosomal RNA". It matches the Rfam family "U5 spliceosomal RNA". From Rfam's summary of the family: U5 RNA is a component of both types of known spliceosome. The precise function of this molecule is unknown, though it is known that the 5' loop is required for splice site selection and p220 binding, and that both the 3' stem-loop and the Sm site are important for Sm protein binding and cap methylation. Lineage: Eukaryota; Metazoa; Chordata; Mammalia; Eulipotyphla; Erinaceidae. The record is from Rfam by way of RNAcentral.
AUACUCUGGUUUCUCUUCAGAUCACAUAAAUCUUUUGCCUUUUACUAAAUAUUUCCAUGGAGAGGAACAAUUCUGAGUUGUUUUUUUAAUAUUUAAAAAAUAUAUUUAUUUAUUC